Molecule: ribosomal RNA, 275 nt
Filed under: uncultured bacterium
Lineage: Bacteria
Description: partial 16S ribosomal RNA
Rfam family: Bacterial small subunit ribosomal RNA
Source: RNAcentral
CCUACGGGGGGCAGCAGUGGGGAAUAUUGGGCAAUGGGCGAAAGCCUGACCCAGCCACGCCGCGUGAGUGAUGAAGGCCUUCGGGUCGUAAAGCUCUGUGGGGAGGGAAGAAAAGCUACGGGCUCAUACCCCGGAGUCUUGACGGUACCUCCUUAGCAAGCACCGGCUAACCACGUGCCAGCAGCCGCGGUAAUACGUGGGGUGCAAACGUUGCUCGGAAUUAUUGGGCGUAAAGCGCACGUAGGCGGCUUUUUAAGUCGGAUGUGAAAGCCCCA